AUUGAACGCUGGCGGCAUGCCUUACACAUGCAAGUCGAACGGCAGCGGGGACUUCGGUCCGCCGGCGAGUGGCGAACGGGUGAGUAAAGUAUCGGAACGUACCUUUCAGUGGGGGAUAACUGUCCGAAAGGACAGCUAAUACCGCAUAUUCUGUGAGCAGGAAAGCAGGGGAUCGCAAGACCUUGCGCUGAUUGAGCGGCCGAUAUCAGAUUAGCUAGUUGGUGAGGUAAAGGCUCACCAAGGCGACGAUCUGUAGCGGGUCUGAGAGGAUGAUCCGCCACACUGGAACUGAGACACGGUCCAGACUCCUACGGGAGGCAGCAGUGGGGAAUUUUGGACAAUGGGGGCAACCCUGAUCCAGCCAUGCCGCGUGAGUGAAGAAGGCCU
This 387-nucleotide ribosomal RNA is filed under the name uncultured bacterium. RNAcentral's name for it is "bacterial SSU rRNA". It matches the Rfam family "Bacterial small subunit ribosomal RNA", at positions 30 to 417 of the family's 1533-position model. The record is from RNAcentral.